RNAcentral lists this ribosomal RNA (253 nucleotides) under uncultured bacterium. RNAcentral's name for it is "partial 16S ribosomal RNA". It matches the Rfam family "Bacterial small subunit ribosomal RNA", at positions 524 to 776 of the family's 1533-position model. The record is from RNAcentral.
UACGUAGGCAGCGAGCGUUGUUCGGAAUUACUGGGCGUAAAGAGUGUGUAGGCGGUGCUCCCAGUCUGUUGUGAAAUCUCCCGGCUUAACUGGGAGGGUGCAGCGGAAACUAGAGUGCUAGAGGGUGGGAGAGGUAAGCGGAAUUCCUGGUGUAGCGGUGAAAUGCGUAGAUAUCGGGAGGAACACCUGUGGCGAAAGCGGCGCACUGGACCAUAACUGACGCUGAUGCGCGAAAGCUAGGGGAGCAAACAGG